This 408-nucleotide ribosomal RNA is filed under the name Lacerta trilineata. RNAcentral describes it as "partial 16S ribosomal RNA". It matches the Rfam family "Bacterial large subunit ribosomal RNA", at positions 1851 to 2515 of the family's 2925-position model. Lineage: Eukaryota; Metazoa; Chordata; Lepidosauria; Squamata; Lacertidae. The record is from RNAcentral.
GGUCCCGCCUGCCCAGUGACUCUUUAAACGGCCGCGGUAUCCUAACCGUGCAAAGGUAGCAUAAUCACUUGUCCCCUAAAUCGGGACUAGAAUGAACGGCUAAAUGAGGACUAAACUGUCUCUUACAGAUUGGCCAAUGAAAUUGAUUUCCCAGUACAAAAGCUGGAAUAUACCCAUAAGACGAGAAGACCCUGUGGAGCUUCAAAACCAAACCACUUAGUAUGUCCCUUGGUUUUUUAGUUGGGGCGACUUCGGAAUACAACAAAACUUCCAAAAUAAAACUAACUCAUUAAGGUUAACACACCAAAAUCUCCACACAGACCCAGCAAUUAAUUUGUCUGACCAAUGAACCAAGUUACCCCAGGGAUAACAGCGCAAUCUCCUUUUAGAGUCCAUAUCGACAAGGGG